GAUGAACGCUGGCGGCGUGCCUAAUACAUGCAAGUCGAGCGAACAGACGAGGAGCUUGCUCCUCUGACGUUAGCGGCGGACGGGUGAGUAACACGUGGAUAACCUACCUAUCAGACUGGGAUAACUUCGGGACACCGGAGCUAAUACCGGAUAAUAUAUUGAACCGCAUGGUUCAAUAGUGAAAGACGGUUUUGCUGUCACUUAUAGAUGGAUCCGCGCCGCAUUAGCUAGUUGGUAAGGUAACGGCUUACCAAGGCGACGAUGCGUAGCCGACGUGAGAGGGUGAUCGGCCACACUGGAACUGAGACACGGUCCAGACUCCUACGGGAGGCAGCAGUAGGGAAUCUUCCGCAAUGGGCGAAAGCCUGACGGAGCAACGCCGCGUGAGUGAUGAAGGUCUUCGGAUCGUAAAACUCUGUUAUUAGGGAAGAACAAAUGUGUAAGUAACUAUGCACGUCUUGACGGUACCUAAUCAGAAAGCCACGGCUAACUACGUG
Molecule: ribosomal RNA, 497 nt
Filed under: uncultured bacterium
Lineage: Bacteria
Description: partial 16S ribosomal RNA
Rfam family: Bacterial small subunit ribosomal RNA
Source: RNAcentral